Molecule: non-coding RNA, 316 nt
Organism: Podarcis muralis (Common wall lizard)
Lineage: Eukaryota; Metazoa; Chordata; Lepidosauria; Squamata; Lacertidae
Source: RefSeq, a predicted model, not a curated record
CUGCCAGUAUUAGCACAGGGCUUGACUUCAGGUGCAGCAGAAUUCCCCAGCCCCCCAAGGAUUUGAGACCCAUCAGCUUUCCUCACCUGGUUUAGCCGGCCUGUUGAAGCCGUUGCUUGAACCCCUGUUGCAUGCUGACAGCUUCUGGAAGCCACAGGAUUUCCUUUCUGCCCACUCUGAAAAAGUUGAUGGAGAAGACAGAAUUGCAGGGGACAGGGCACCUUUCGUUUCAUUAGGAAUAGCCAUUAAAAUGUGUGAAAUGUGGAAUAUGCUUCACUGAAUGAGCACACAUAGUUCACAUCAACGAACACAAAAA